GAUCCUGGCUCAGGAUGAACGCUGGCGGCGUGCCUAACACAUGCAAGUCGAACGGACUUACAUUGAAGCCUAGCGAUAUGUAAGUUAGUGGCGGACGGGUGAGUAACGCGUGGGGUAACCUGCCUUGUACUGGGGGACAACAGUUGGAAACGACUGCUAAUACCGCAUAAGCGCACAGCUUCGCAUGAAGCGGUGUGAAAACUACCGUGGUACGAAGAAUGGACCCGCCGUCCUGAUA
RNAcentral lists this ribosomal RNA (238 nucleotides) under uncultured bacterium. RNAcentral describes it as "partial 16S ribosomal RNA". It matches the Rfam family "Bacterial small subunit ribosomal RNA", at positions 15 to 243 of the family's 1533-position model. The record is from RNAcentral.